Molecule: ribosomal RNA, 460 nt
Filed under: uncultured bacterium
Lineage: Bacteria
Description: partial 16S ribosomal RNA
Rfam family: Bacterial small subunit ribosomal RNA
Source: RNAcentral
CCUACGGGAGGCAGCAGUGAGGAAUAUUGGUCAAUGGACGAGAGUCUGAACCAGCCAAGUAGCGUGAAGGAUGACUGCCCUAUGGGUUGUAAACUUCUUUUAUAUGGGAAUAAAACGUUCCACGUGUGGGAUUUUGUAUGUACCAUAUGAAUAAGGAUCGGCUAACUCCGUGCCAGCAGCCGCGGUAAUACGGAUGAUCCGAGCGUUAUCCGGAUUUAUUGGGUUUAAAGGGAGCGUAGGUGGAUUGUUAAGUCAGUUGUGAAAGUUUGCGGCUCAACCGUAAAAUUGCAGUUGAAACUGGCAGUCUUGAGUACAGUAGAUGUGGGCGGAAUUCGUGGUGUAGCGGUGAAAUGCUUAGAUAUCGCGAAGAACUCCGAUUGCGAAGGCAGUUCACUGGACUGCAACUGACACUGAGGCUCGAAAGUGUGGGUAUCAAACAGGAUUAGAUACCCUAGUAGUC